This 2850-nucleotide long non-coding RNA is filed under the name Homo sapiens (human). RNAcentral's name for it is "HSALNT0309363". Lineage: Eukaryota; Metazoa; Chordata; Mammalia; Primates; Hominidae. The record is from RNAcentral.
UUUAAGUCUGCAGAGGUUACUGCUGUCUUUUUGUUUGUCUGUGCCCUGCCCGCAGAGGUGGAGCCUACAGAGGCAGGCAGGCCUCCUUGAGCUGUGGUGGGCUCCACCCAGUUCGAGCUUCUGGGCUGCUUUGUUUACCUAAUCAAGCCUGGGCAAUGGCGGGCGCCCCUCCCCCAGCCUCACUGCAGCCUUGCAGUUUGAUCUCAGACUGCUGUGCUAGCAAUCAGCGAGACUCCGUGGGCGUAGGACCUUCCGAGCCAGGUGUUGGUUAUAAUUUCGUGGUGCGCCGUUUUUUAAGCCCGUCGGAAAAGCGCAGUAUUCGGGUGGGAGUGACCCGAUUUUCCAGGUGCUGUCCGUCACCCCUUUCUUUGACUCGGAAAGGGAACUCCCUGACCCCUUGCGCUUCCCAAAGUGAGGCAAUGCCUCGCCCUGCUUUGGCUCGCGCACGGUGCGCGCACCCACUGACCUGCGCCCGCUGUCUGGCACUCCCUAGUGAGAUGAACCCUGUACCUCAGAUGGAAAUGCAGAAAUCACCCGUCUUCUGCGUCGCUCAUGCUGGGAGCUGCAGACCGGAGCUGUUCCUAUUCGGCCAUCUUGGUUCCUCCCUCCAAGAACUACUUAACAAUAUACAUACUGAUCCAUUGUGGAAUUAUUAAGGAAAAUACAUUGAAAUAGGUGGCAUUCUUGUCAAAGAUAUAUAUGGACGGCUAGAUGGAUAGAUAGGUGAAAAUCAUGUUCCAUGGAAGAAGAGUUAGCUCAGCCUGCAACUCAAACAAGUACAGAUAUUCUUCCAUGGAAUGACCAUCAUACUUGGAUUGUAAUAAAAAUGCUUUAGGCAAACUUCUCAUUUCAUCCUUGGCAUAUUAAAAAUAUGUAUGUAUGUUUAAGGCUUGAAACUUAACACUGUAUUUUAAUGUUUCAGUAAGGUAAUUCUUCUUAAAUAAAAUUGGCAUUUUUAAAAAAGCCCUCUCUCACCACUCCUAUUCAACAUAGUGUUGGAAGUUCUGGCCAGGGCAAUUAGGCAGGAGAAAGAAAUAAAGGGUAUUCAAUUAGGAAAAGAGGAAGUCAAAUUGUCCCUGUUUGCAGAUGACAUGAUUGUAUAUCUAGAAAACCCCAUUGUCUCAGCCCAAAAUCUCCUUAAGCUGAUAAGCAACUUCAGCAAAGUCUCAGGUUACAAAAUCAAUGUACAAAAAUCACAAGCAUUCUUAUACACCAAUAACAGACAAGCAGAGAGCCAAAUUAUGAGUGAACUCCCAUUCAUAAUUGCUUCAAAGAGAAUAAAAUACCUAGGAAUCCAACUUACAAGGGAUGUGAAGGACCUCUUCAAGGAGAACUACAAACCACUGCUUAAGGAAAUAAAAGAGGAUACAAAGAAAUGGAAGAACAUUCCAUGCUCAUGGGUAGGAAGAAUCAAUAUCGUGAAAAUGGCCAUACUGCCCAAGGUAAUUUUUAUAGAUUCAAUGCCAUCCCCAUCAAGCUACCACUGACUUUCUUCACAGAAUUGGAAAAAACAACUACUUUAAAGUUCAUAUGGAACCAAAAAAGAGCCCGCAUUGCCAAGUCAAUCCUAAGCCAAAAGAACAAAGCUGGGGGCAUCACACUACCUGACUUCAAACUAUACUACAAGGCUACAGUAACCAAAACAGCAGGGUACUGGUACCAAAACAGAGAUAUUGAUCAAUGGAACAGAACAGAGCCCUCAGAAAUAACGCCGCACAUCUACAACUAUCUGAUCUUUGACAAACCUGACAAAAACAAGCAAUGGGGAAAGGAUUCCCUAUUUAAUAAAUAGUGCCGGGAAAACUGGCCAGCUAUAUGGAGAAAGCUGAAACUGGAUCCCUUCCUCACACCUUAUACAAAAAUUAAUUCAAGAUGGAUUAAAGACUUAAAUGUUAGACCUAAAACCAUAAAAACCCUAGAAGAAAACCUAGGCAUUACCAUUCAGGACAUAGGCAUGGGCAAGGACUUCAUGUCUAAAACACCAAAAGUAAUGGCAACAAAAGCCAAAAUUGAGAAAUGGGAUCUAAUGAAACUAAAGAGCUUCUGCACAGCAAAAGAAACUACCAUCAGAGUGAACAGGCAACCCACAAAAUGGGAGAAAAUUUUCGCAACCUACUCAUCUGACAAAGGGCUAAUAUCCAGAAUCUACAAUGAACUCAAACAAAUUUACAAGAAAAAAACAAACAACCCCAUCAAAAAGUGGGCAAAAGACAUGAACAGACACUUCUCAAAAGAAGACAUUUAUGCAGCCAAAAAACACAUGAAAAAUUGCUUACCAUCACUGGCCAUCAGAGAAAUGCAAAUCAAAACUACAAUGAGAUACCAUCUCACACCAGUUAGAAUGGCAAUUAUUAAAAAGUCAGGAAACAACAGGUGCUAGAGGGGAUGUGGAGAAAUAGGAACACUUUUACACUGUUGGUGGGACCGUAAACUAGUUCAACCAUUGUGGAAGGCAGUGUGGUGAUUCCUCAGGGUUCUAGAACUAGAAAUACCAUUUGACCCAGUCAUCCCAUUACUGGGUAUAUACCCAAAGGAUUAUAAAUCAUGCUGCUAUAAAGACACAUGCACACGUAUGUUUAUUGUAGCACUAUUCACAAUAGCAAAGACUUGGAACCAACCCAAAUGUCCAACAAUGAUUGAUAGACUGGAUUAAGAAAAUGUGGCACAUAUACACCAUGCAAUACUAUGCAGCCAUAAAAGAUGAAGAGUUCAUGUCCUUUGUAGGGACAUGGAUGAAAUUGGAAAUCAUCAUUCUCAGUAAACUAUUGCAAGGAUAAAAAACCAAACACCGCAUGUUCUCACUCAUAGGUGGGAAUUGAACAAUGAGAACACAUGGACACAGGAAGGGGA